This is a long non-coding RNA of Dicentrarchus labrax (European seabass), 2766 nucleotides long. RefSeq lists it as uncharacterized. NCBI's taxonomy places the organism in Eukaryota, Metazoa, Chordata, Actinopteri, Moronidae. The record is from RefSeq and is a predicted model, not a curated record. The transcript is spliced from 2 exons.
AUCCCAUAAAAAUCUGGAGCUGGUUAGCCGCAAGCAACGCUCAUGAGAGCUUAUAGUCCACAUUAAUAUAGUUGUCAAUCUAAGUUAACUUUUACAUUCAGUGAAUGUGAUGUGGCAAAGACUAGCGGGAGCGGGACAAACGGACGCGCCAGGGAGCUAUGAAGAAGGCCCAGCAAAGUGGUUCUUUCUCUCUGGAAGGAUGUCAGCUCUCUGUGCCUGGCCAUCCCUGAGGACGCUUGAUGUCAUCUUGUCUACCUGAUCAUUACACUACCUGCGCUCCUCUACAAUGCUGCCCUCUCGCUGCUCCGCCACUUGAAAUGCUUGGCUGGCCUCUUCUCUGAAACCAUCAUGAAAUUGUGUGCUAAAACGCUGCAGACUGUUCCUCCUCUCUCCUCCCUUCAGCCGUGUGUGCAGGAGCUAGAAAAAGAUUCCUCCACUCGGGCGACUGCUGCUCAGUCAAAGGGAAAACACACAAAACAUCCUUCAGCCAUCUGCCACCGCUCACCUCUCACAGCUUUUCUUUGAUUUUCUGAUGUUUGAAGUGUAUCAUAUUUCAUACACUACAGCAGUAUCCAAGUAUAUGUAAUGGACACAUACCCAGGUACUUGAAAAAAACUGUUCUGUUUGUAAAUGAUCUGAGAUGAUUUAUUAGAGUCUACAAAUCCGAUUUUAACAUCAUACAAGUUCACUUACUGUGUGUGUUACUGGACACGAGGUAGUAAAGAAUCUGUAAAGAGAUUAUUUUCUGUUUCUCAUGGAAAUCAUGGAAAAUUCUCUUUUCAAAAUACAUUUUACUUAUACAACAAUCAUUUCUCCAUGCAGCUACAAAUGUAAUGUAUUCAUCACAAGAAAUAUGAUAAUGUGGAAGACUGUGUUGUGAACACAUCUUUUUAAUCAACUAGUGAAGACUUACUUGGAGAAUAUAACCAUAUUCAAUACUUAAUUCAUUUAAUUUAUUUUAUUUUUAUGUACUCAACAAUUACAGCAAAGCACAAAUUCAGUAUGAGGAAAAAAAUCAUAUAGUAGAACAAAAUAGUUAGAAUCAUAAAAGACAGACAUAAAAUAGUGCAGCCACUAAAAUAUAGGAAUAAAAACUACUAUAAUAUAAAAUUAAGUAUAAUAGUAAAAUGUACAAACUAUAAUAAUAGUUUGUAAUAUAUGUAUAUAUAUAUAUAUAAUAGAUUGUAGACAGGAUACAUAUACAUAUAAAUAUAUAUACUGAAUUAAUAAAUAUGUCCAAUGAUGGGUAAACAGUAGUAAAUAAACAUAUACAGUAUAAUGUGAUGUGUAUAGAUAUAAACAAAUAAAUAUAUCUACUGAGAUGUAAACAGAUUCUUGUAAAAGCAAAAACAUCCAUAUACUGAUUCUUUAUUCAAGUGGAUUCUUCGUUUCAGUGUCAUCCAUUUGCUUUGUUGCCCUCAAAAGGUACAAUAGGCCUUUUGCACUUCACAAUAGGAAACGCACAAGUAUAUAUAAUAAAACUGUUGUACAUGCUGUCUUAAUGUCACACCAUCAUCGUUUAUGUUUAUAGUAUCACCUGUGCCUUUCCUCCCGUGAGAAAGUCAGUUGGCCUACAAUGUCAGUACCCGAAAGCAUAAGUCGCUGCUUAAAUGAUGUCCCAAGAACUCUGAUAAUCUUUUGGAUAAGAGAAAGUGUCUGUACAUGCAAACAAAAUAUCCUAUCUAUCAUAAUUUCUGAAAAUACUGAUGGAAAUUUUCCUGAAGUAGACUGCGAGAGACUGCGUUCAAAUUAUGUCUCAAUAGGUGUCUCUUAUGUGCAGUUCGAGUACCUUCAAAUGAUCCAGAAGAACAAAUGUAUUAAUUGCAAUUUAAUAAUAAUCUUUUUUUUUAUUUAUUUUUUUACAUUAAUUACAUAACUAUAAUAAAAAUAAAAAUAAAUGUUUGAUAGUUGUUUCUUUCAGUAGUCCUCAGGGAUCCCAGUCGAUUGUCCUUGUAUGUUAAAUGUGUGUUUGGAUGAGGAUUAAAGGAUAGAUUCAGAUUUUUUAAGUCUGUCUUAAAACAAUGGUCAGGUGCCCGCUACUAAAGCCUCAUAUAACCACCAGAUGAACUUUGGGAUACAUUAUUUCACCAAACGAGGAUUGUGGAUUUGGUUUUCCAUCACUUAUACUGGAGGCACAUUAGGAAAUGAGCUCUUACUGGCCAGUAUGGUCAGAAGGAAUGAUAAUAGAAAGCAGAACCUGUUUCAAUGUUCAUAAGGGCACCUGGCUGUUGUUUUAAGACAGACUUGAAAAAUUGUGAACCUAUCCUUUAAUGUAUACAAUAUUUAAUGUCCUAUUUUACACACUUUAUUGAAUUAUAUAGGAAUUACUGUAACUCAGUAAGGUUAAUAACUAACAUUGAUAGUUGAACAUUUUACAAAGUACACCUCACAUGUUGAAUAUAUACUAACAUGUUGAGUGAAAAAUAUUUUUGAACAUUUUAAUUUGGUAAUGGUUGGCUGUCUGUCUCAGCAGCGUUCUGGCUCGCAUUCAUAGUGGAGAGGUAACCGAACACACCCACACACACACAGUAAAGACUUGUGCCUCCUACCUGUCCACUGCACGGUACCUCAGUGCUCUAAAGUGUCUUGCUCAAGACGAGAGCAGCUCAGUGGCAUUUGCAGAGGGAGGGGACUCCUCUAACCAGAGAUUUCUUUCCCAGGUGUUCCCAGCUCAUCCAGGGAUUUGACCCACUCACAGAUGUGCUUCUGUUAUAGGUAGCUGGCCCAGUUCCAUUGCAUGCUUCACAAUAAAAGUCCUAAAAUAAC